AUUUUUUCCGAUUUAUCCCUUUCAUCAAAAUCCAUUCAUUUGCCAAAUCUCCAAACUUUCUUCAUCUUCCAUUUUUCUCAAAUCCAUUCAACUGCUGCAAUUCUCAGGUGCAAUUUGAUCGCUCAUUCCGGAAUUGAAGAUUGACGCAUCGUUGCCUUUCAGUGAUCUUCCCAGCCCGUUAUACUUGAAGUUGAAGAAGAAUUGGUCGCAACUCAUUUAACAGAAAAUUUGACUGCUACAUUUGGUCCCUGCACUAUCUUUUUGAAAAGUUAGUUUGAAGAGAGGGCCCAAUACUCUUAUUGAUAUUAUUAUACUGUUGCAAAUAUACUCUACAUCAACUACUAAAGACAUUUCUCCUACUUCAACAGAAAGCCUCAAAUGUCACAAAAUUACAACGGUAAUAAAGAUAGUCAAGAUGAUUGCCGCCAACAUAGUAAUGGAUUACUUUGUCUUUUGCGACGACUUCUGUAAAUCUGUAAAUACAUACAUAGACGGUGAAAUCUUGAACAUAACAUAUAUACAAUGUGUAUCCAUGUAUUAGCAGUUUUUCUAUGAAACAAACUUCAACUGCUUUACUGAUUUA
Solanum tuberosum (potato) is the source of this 583-nucleotide long non-coding RNA. RefSeq lists it as uncharacterized. The record is from RefSeq and is a predicted model, not a curated record. NCBI's taxonomy places the organism in Eukaryota, Viridiplantae, Streptophyta, Magnoliopsida, Solanales, Solanaceae. The transcript has 3 exons.